RNAcentral lists this ribosomal RNA (497 nucleotides) under uncultured bacterium. Its description in RNAcentral is "partial 16S ribosomal RNA". It matches the Rfam family "Bacterial small subunit ribosomal RNA", at positions 28 to 507 of the family's 1533-position model. The record is from RNAcentral.
GACGAAUGCUGGCGGCGUGCCUAAUACACGUAAGUUGGGCGAUGAAGCUCGGUGCUUGCACCAAUUUGAAGAGCAGCGAACGGGUGAGUAACGAGUGGGGAAUCUGCCUUUGAGCGGGGGACAACAUCUGGCAACGCAUGCUAAUCCCGAAUAACAACUUUAAACUUACGCUUUACGUUUGAAAGAUGCACUUGCAUCACUCAAAGAUGAUCCCGCGUUGUAUUAGCUAGUUGGGGAGGUCAAGGCUCACCAAGGCGAUGAUACAUAGCCGACCUGAGAGGGUGAUCGGCCACAUUGGGACUGAGACACGACCCAGACGCCUACGGGAGGCAGCAGUAGGGAAUGUUCGGCAAAUGACGAAAGUCUGACCGGACAACGCCGCGUUAGAGAAGAAGGUUAUCGGGUCGUAAAACUCUGUUGGUAGAGAAAGGCAUUGGUGGGAGUAGAAAGCUCAUCAAGUGACGGUAACUACCCGGAAAGGGACGGCUAAGUACGAG